This 379-nucleotide ribosomal RNA is filed under the name uncultured bacterium. RNAcentral's name for it is "bacterial SSU rRNA". It matches the Rfam family "Bacterial small subunit ribosomal RNA", at positions 29 to 443 of the family's 1533-position model. The record is from RNAcentral.
AACGAACGCUGGCGGCAGGCCUAACACAUGCAAGUCGAACGCCCUCUUCGGAGGGAGUGGCAGACGGGUGAGUAACGCGUGGGAACCUACCUAGUAGUACGGAACAACACAGAGAAAUUUGUGCUAAUACCGUAUACGCCAACGGGAAAGAUUUAUCGCUAUUAGAUGGGCCCGCGUUGGAUUAGCUAGUUGGUGAGGUAACGGCUCACCAAGGCGACGAUCCAUAGCUGGUCUGAGAGGAUGAUCAGCCACACUGGGACUGAGACACGGCCCAGACUCCUACGGGAGCAGCAGUGGGGAAUAUUGGACAAUGGGCGCAAGCCUGAUCCAGCCAUGCCGCGUGAGUGAUGACGGCCCGGUGUAAAGCUCUUUCAACGGU